This 2741-nucleotide ribosomal RNA is filed under the name Salmonella enterica subsp. enterica serovar Enteritidis. Its description in RNAcentral is "partial 23S ribosomal RNA". It matches the Rfam family "Bacterial large subunit ribosomal RNA". Lineage: Bacteria; Pseudomonadati; Pseudomonadota; Gammaproteobacteria; Enterobacterales; Enterobacteriaceae. The record is from RNAcentral.
GCGAUAAGCGCCGGUAAGGUGAUAUGAACCGUUAUAACCGGCGAUACCCGAAUGGGGAAACCCAGUGUGAUUCGUCACACUAUCAUUAACUGAAUCCAUAGGUUAAUGAGGCGAACCGGGGGAACUGAAACAUCUAAGUACCCCGAGGAAAAGAAAUCAACCGAGAUUCCCCCAGUAGCGGCGAGCGAACGGGGAGGAGCCCAGAGCCUGAAUCAGCAUGUGUGUUAGUGGAAGCGUCUGGAAAGGCGCGCGAUACAGGGUGACAGCCCCGUACACAAAAGCGCAUGUGCUGUGAGCUCGAUGAGUAGGGCGGGACACGUGGUAUCCUGUCUGAAUAUGGGGGGACCAUCCUCCAAGGCUAAAUACUCCUGACUGACCGAUAGUGAACCAGUACCGUGAGGGAAAGGCGAAAAGAACCCCGGCGAGGGGAGUGAAAAAGAACCUGAAACCGUGUACGUACAAGCAGUGGGAGCACCCUUUGGGUGUGACUGCGUACCUUUUGUAUAAUGGGUCAGCGACUUAUAUUCUGUAGCAAGGUUAACCGAAUAGGGGAGCCGGAGGGAAACCGAGUCUUAACCGGGCGUUAAGUUGCAGGGUAUAGACCCGAAACCCGGUGAUCUAGCCAUGGGCAGGUUGAAGGUUGGGUAACACUAACUGGAGGACCGAACCGACUAAUGUUGAAAAAUUAGCGGAUGACCUGUGGCUGGGGGUGAAAGGCCAAUCAAACCGGGAGAUAGCUGGUUCUCCCCGAAAGCUAUUUAGGUAGCGCCUCGUGAAUUCAUCUCCGGGGGUAGAGCACUGUUUCGGCUAGGGGGCCAUCCCGGCUUACCAACCCGAUGCAAACUGCGAAUACCGGAGAAUGUUAUCACGGGAGACACACGGCGGGUGCUAACGUCCGUCGUGAAGAGGGAAACAACCCAGACCGCCAGCUAAGGUCCCAAAGUCAUGGUUAAGUGGGAAACGAUGUGGGAAGGCCCAGACAGCCAGGAUGUUGGCUUAGAAGCAGCCAUCAUUUAAAGAAAGCGUAAUAGCUCACUGGUCGAGUCGGCCUGCGCGGAAGAUGUAACGGGGCUAAACCAUGCACCGAAGCUGCGGCAGCGACACUGUGUGUUGUUGGGUAGGGGAGCGUUCUGUAAGCCUGUGAAGGUGUGUCGUGAGGCAUGCUGGAGGUAUCAGAAGUGCGAAUGCUGACAUAAGUAACGAUAAAGCGGGUGAAAAGCCCGCUCGCCGGAAGACCAAGGGUUCCUGUCCAACGUUAAUCGGGGCAGGGUGAGUCGACCCCUAAGGCGAGGCCGAAAGGCGUAGUCGAUGGGAAACGGGUUAAUAUUCCCGUACUUGGUGUUACUGCGAAGGGGGGACGGAGAAGGCUAUGUUGGCCGGGCGACGGUUGUCCCGGUUUAAGCGUGUAGGUGUGUGUUCCAGGUAAAUCCGGUUCACUUUAACACUGAGGCGUGACGACGAGGCACUACGGUGCUGAAGCAACAAAUGCCCUGCUUCCAGGAAAAGCCUCUAAGCAUCAGGUAACAUCAAAUCGUACCCCAAACCGACACAGGUGGUCAGGUAGAGAAUACCAAGGCGCUUGAGAGAACUCGGGUGAAGGAACUAGGCAAAAUGGUGCCGUAACUUCGGGAGAAGGCACGCUGACACGUAGGUGAAGUGAUUUACUCAUGGAGCUGAAGUCAGUCGAAGAUACCAGCUGGCUGCAACUGUUUAUUAAAAACACAGCACUGUGCAAACACGAAAGUGGACGUAUACGGUGUGACGCCUGCCCGGUGCCGGAAGGUUAAUUGAUGGGGUCAGCGCAAGCGAAGCUCCUGAUCGAAGCCCCGGUAAACGGCGGCCGUAACUAUAACGGUCCUAAGGUAGCGAAAUUCCUUGUCGGGUAAGUUCCGACCUGCACGAAUGGCGUAAUGAUGGCCAGGCUGUCUCCACCCGAGACUCAGUGAAAUUGAACUCGCUGUGAAGAUGCAGUGUACCCGCGGCAAGACGGAAAGACCCCGUGAACCUUUACUAUAGCUUGACACUGAACAUUGAGCCUUGAUGUGUAGGAUAGGUGGGAGGCUUUGAAGUGUGGACGCCAGUCUGCAUGGAGCCGACCUUGAAAUACCACCCUUUAAUGUUUGAUGUUCUAACGUGGACCCGUUACCCGGGUUGCGGACAGUGUCUGGUGGGUAGUUUGACUGGGGCGGUCUCCUCCUAAAGAGUAACGGAGGAGCACGAAGGUUGGCUAAUCCUGGUCGGACAUCAGGAGGUUAGUGCAAUGGCAUAAGCCAGCUUGACUGCGAGCGUGACGGCGCGAGCAGGUGCGAAAGCAGGUCAUAGUGAUCCGGUGGUUCUGAAUGGAAGGGCCAUCGCUCAACGGAUAAAAGGUACUCCGGGGAUAACAGGCUGAUACCGCCCAAGAGUUCAUAUCGACGGCGGUGUUUGGCACCUCGAUGUCGGCUCAUCACAUCCUGGGGCUGAAGUAGGUCCCAAGGGUAUGGCUGUUCGCCAUUUAAAGUGGUACGCGAGCUGGGUUUAGAACGUCGUGAGACAGUUCGGUCCCUAUCUGCCGUGGGCGCUGGAGAACUGAGGGGGGCUGCUCCUAGUACGAGAGGACCGGAGUGGACGCAUCACUGGUGUUCGGGUUGUCAUGCCAAUGGCACUGCCCGGUAGCUAAAUGCGGAAGAGAUAAGUGCUGAAAGCAUCUAAGCACGAAACUUGCCCCGAGAUGAGUUCUCCCUGAGACUUAAAGUCUCCUG